CAAAUUAGAGCUUGAUAUAAGUAUUUCAUUUACAUUGAAAGGAAAUUGGUAUAAACAAUUAAUUUGA
This 67-nucleotide transfer RNA is filed under the name Phauda flammans. RNAcentral's name for it is "tRNA-Val". The record is from RNAcentral. Lineage: Eukaryota; Metazoa; Arthropoda; Insecta; Lepidoptera; Zygaenidae.